GAUGAACGCUGACAGAAUGCUUAACACAUGCAAGUCAUUGGCGAAGCUGCGCUUGCGCAGUCUAGCCAAGGCGGACGGGUGAGUAACGCGUAAGGAACUUGCCCUGCAGACAGGGAUAACAGACGGAAACGACUGAUAACACCUGGUGUUGUCAGGCUGGCGCAUGCCGGCCUGAUGAAAGGAGACGCUGCAGGAGAGCCUUGCGUCCUAUUAGCUAGUUGGUGGGGUAACGGCCCACCAAGGCGAUGAUAGGUAGCCGGCCUGAGAGGGUGAACGGCCACAAGGGGACUGAGAUACGGCCCUUACUCCUACGGGAGGCAGCAGUGGGGAAUAUUGGACAAUGGGGGCAACCCUGAUCCAGCAAUUCUGUGUGCACGAAGAGGGUUUUCGGAUUGUAAAGUGCUUUCAGCAGGGAAGAAGAAAGUGACGGUACCUGCAGAAGAAGCGACGGCU
Molecule: ribosomal RNA, 453 nt
Filed under: Leptotrichia sp. oral taxon 213
Lineage: Bacteria; Fusobacteriati; Fusobacteriota; Fusobacteriia; Fusobacteriales; Leptotrichiaceae
Description: bacterial SSU rRNA
Rfam family: Bacterial small subunit ribosomal RNA
Source: RNAcentral